GUAGGGAAUAUUGCAAAAUGGGCGAAAGCCCGAUGCAGCAACGCCGCGUGGGCGAUGAAGGCCUUCGGGUCGUAAAGCCCUUUUUGAGGGGAUGAGGAAGGACAGUACCCUCAGAAUAAGCCUCGGCUAACUACGUGCCAGCAGCCGCGGUAAAACGUAGGAGGCGAGCGUUAUCCGGAUUUACUGGGCGUAAAGCGCGUGCAGGCGGAUUGGAGAGUUGGAUGUGAAAGCUCCCGGCUUAACUGGGAGAGGUCGUUCAAUACUUCCAGUCUUGAGUGCAGUAGAGGGAAGUGGAAUUCCGGGUGUAGUGGUGAAAUGCGUAGAUAUCCGGAGGAACACCAGUGGCGAAAGCGGCUUCCUGGACUGUAACUGACGCUCAGACGCGAAAGCUAGGGUAGCAAACGGGAUUAGAAACCCUAGUAGUCC
Molecule: ribosomal RNA, 426 nt
Filed under: uncultured bacterium
Lineage: Bacteria
Description: bacterial SSU rRNA
Rfam family: Bacterial small subunit ribosomal RNA
Source: RNAcentral